GACGUAGGGGGCAAGCGUUGUUCGGAAUUAUUGGGCGUAAAGCGCUCGUAGGCGGGACAGGAAGUUCGUGUUGAAAGACCUCGGCUCAACUGAGGGACCGGCUCGAAUACUCUUGUUCUUGAGGCAAUCAGAGGGUGAUGGAAUUCCCGGUGUAGCGGUGAAAUGCGUAGAUAUCAGGAGGAACACCGGUGGCGAAGGCGGUUCUCUGGGCCGAUACUGACGCUGAGGAGCGAAAGCGUGGGGAGCGAACAGG
This 253-nucleotide ribosomal RNA is filed under the name uncultured bacterium. RNAcentral's name for it is "partial 16S ribosomal RNA". It matches the Rfam family "Bacterial small subunit ribosomal RNA", at positions 524 to 776 of the family's 1533-position model. The record is from RNAcentral.